ACUCAAAUGAAUUGACGGGGGCCCGCACAAGCGGUGGAGUAUGUGGUUUAAUUCGACGCAACGCGCAGAACCUUACCAGGCCUUGACAUGGGAAGUGUGGGCUCCAGAAAUGGAGUCCUUCAUUUAGUUGGCUUCCACACAGGUGCUGCAUGGCUGUCGUCAGCUCGUGUCGUGAGAUGUUGGGUUAAGUCCCGCAACGAGCGCAACCCCCAUCUUCAGUUGCUACCAGGUUAUGCUGGGCACUCUGAAGAAACCGCCGGUGACAAGCCGGAGGAAGGCGGGGAUGACGUCAAGUCCUCAUGGCCCUUACGGCCUGGGCUACACACGUACUACAAUGGUGGUGACAGUGGGCCGCGAAGUCGCGAGACGGAGCCAAUCCCCAAAAGCCAUCUCAGUUCGGAUUGCACUCUGCAACUCGAGUGCAUGAAGUCGGAAUCGCUAGUAAUCGCGGAUCAGCACGCCGCGGUGAAUACGUUCCCGGGCCUUGUACACACCGCCCGU
RNAcentral lists this ribosomal RNA (501 nucleotides) under uncultured bacterium. RNAcentral describes it as "partial 16S ribosomal RNA". It matches the Rfam family "Bacterial small subunit ribosomal RNA", at positions 899 to 1397 of the family's 1533-position model. The record is from RNAcentral.